UAAUUUUUUUUUCAGAGUAUGAUACCUCCGACUCUGAUUCUGAAAAUGUCAUCACAACAAGGAACAGAGCUGAAUUCAAUCGAGCUGACACUUUGGUUUUUGAACCAAAUACAAACUGGAAGAUGAAAGAGAUGCUCUACUAAUGAAACACCUAAAAGACCGGCCCAUUUUUGAUGGACCAGAAGGACAUCGGUUCUUGGUCAAUGCAAAUGGUAUGCAUAUUGGUUAGAUGUGUACUAUACGCUACUAAUGGUUGGUUAAUGCUCAUUGAUAUAUAUCACAUGACAUAUG
Molecule: long non-coding RNA, 291 nt
Organism: Esox lucius (northern pike)
Lineage: Eukaryota; Metazoa; Chordata; Actinopteri; Esociformes; Esocidae
Exons: 3
Source: RefSeq, a predicted model, not a curated record